CACACACACACACUGUAAGUUCUCUAAUACUAUAAUAAACAGUACAUAUUUUUUCAUUUUGUAAAAUAAUAAUAUUUAUAUUACAUUAAAUAUAAUUUUUCAAAAUAAUUAUAAUAGUAACUUACGUAGUAAAAACAUGUUCCUAGUAGUUUUCUAAUGAUAUAUAAAAUGGUAUUUCUUUACAUUCAUACUGCUAUUUAUAGUACUUCUUUUUUGUUAUAAAUAAUUCACUCAUUUAUUUAUUUUUAAUUAUAGAGUGCUUUUUUUUUUUUUUUUUUUUUAUAAGUAUGUUGUGGUAAGUGCUUUUUUUUUUUUUUUUUUUUUUUAAUACUAACUUUUUAUACCAUUAUUUCAAGAUUUAAAAAUGUAUCUGUUUUAUUGCUUAUUAUCGAAAAUAUUUUGAUUAGAUCACUAUACAAUUUAUAUCAUUAAAAACAUGUAUUAGUUGAAAUCUAACUAAAAAAAUAUAUAUCAAUAUGGUAUAGUAAAUAUAUUUAUAUAAAUUUUCUACAUGUAACGCAUAAAAUUAUUGGAAAGUAUUCAAUAACAUCAUUAUUACAUAGUAAGUGUGUAAAAAAAAUGUUUACCGGAAUUUUUAAAAUAUUUAUUAUUGCCUUUUUUAUAUGGGAAUGGACUAAUAACAGCAAAGCACAAAUAGGAAACAUAUUAAACAAAAAGUGUUAUAGAUUAUUGGCUCAUUAUGAUACCUCUAUAGACGAAUCAUAUUAUCAUACUCUUAUGAAUGAUUAUAAAAAACCAUAUGUAAGUAGUAAAAAUUCCAAUAUUAAUGAAAAUCAAAGCAAUGAAAAAGCAGCUCAAAGUGAAAACUAUAACCAAAAUAAAUCAAAAUAUUUUACUGAUUUUAAAAAAGAAUUAAUUAAAAUAUUAACUAGCAUUAAAAAUCCAAAAAUGAAGCAAAUAUUCUCAGAAAAUGAGAAAAUACUGGAAAAAGAUUUACUAGAAAUAUAUGAACUUAUUAAACAUGUCAUCCCUAAAGACAAAUAUUUACAAAUGAUAAAUAGAAGCUGUGAAUUAGCAAAACAAAAACACCUUUAUAACAUUGAAGAUGCUGAAGCAUAUUACAACUCAAUAUUACAUUUAUUGCGCACAUACUUUUUUCUUACUAGAGGUAAAAAAGAUUUAGGAUUUAAAAACAAUAUAUUUAAAGCGGUUUAUUUGAAUCUAUCUAAAUUCGUCAAUAUAAUCGAUAAAUACUUUAAGACUAAGUUACUUAAACUAAUGAUAAACCAAGAAAUAAAUCCAAAGGAAAAAUUAUCAUAUAAAGAAGGUUUUAUAUUAUUUAGUUUAGCAUGGUUUUAUCCAAUAUUAUUAUUUGUGAUUUCAAUUUUUGUUAUACCUUUAUGGUCAGUUGGUCUUACAUUUUCAUUAUUAGGUGUAUACAUGUUCUUAGCCAUACACUCUAAUUAUAAAAUCGUUAGAGACGCACGUUUUAUAAACCAAAUUAAGCAAAGAUCAGUACUAUUAAACAGGGAAUAUUUUACUUAACAAUAUGUACCAUAAACAAAAUAAAAUACGAUAAAAUAUUUACA
This is a long non-coding RNA of Piliocolobus tephrosceles (Ugandan red Colobus), 1550 nucleotides long. NCBI's taxonomy places the organism in Eukaryota, Metazoa, Chordata, Mammalia, Primates, Cercopithecidae. The record is from Ensembl.